RNAcentral lists this long non-coding RNA (1331 nucleotides) under Solanum tuberosum (potato). RNAcentral describes it as "long non-coding RNA (STUB_LNC006229)". Lineage: Eukaryota; Viridiplantae; Streptophyta; Magnoliopsida; Solanales; Solanaceae. The record is from RNAcentral.
UAUUCAAUUUUGUUUGUUUAUAUUUAUGGAAAUCUUGAACGUGAUGAUACUCUGAAUUGAUCAUGCCCUUCAUUUUUUUUUAGUAAUAACUUAAUUGUGGCUUAAAUUGAGGUUGAUUAACUGAAUUACUUAACUUUAGAAUUUGCUUAUUGUAAGCAUAUAUUAUCAUUAACUUUGAUUGAUUUGCUAAUGAUCCUCAUAAUUGAUUAAGUUAGCAUUUGGCGGAUUCCAACAUUUUGGCUGAUUAUGGUAAAUUAUUUUAAUAUAUGAAUAUUGUGUUGGGCUGUAAUUGUGUCCUACCUUAAUUAAAUGCUUGUCUGCUUGAUUAUAUAGUCAUAGAUGCUUUAAAUUAGCCUUCUUGCCGUAAUUAUAAAAAUCAAUUGCCACUUGAUUACAUAUUGGGUAAAAAUCGAUUGAUUUUAUUCAUUAUUUGUUUAAGGAAAAUAAUUCUAAUUGUCUCCUUAAUUAUUUCUUUUCCUUUUAUGUUGUGCCCUCUCUUUUGUAUAUAAAUAAGGUUCAUAAUUCCAUAUAACACACGGUGGAACACCUCUACACUCUCACAUCCUAACUUGUGCUCACAUACUAAAAUACUAAAAUAUAUAUUACUCUCUGCUUGAAAAGAUUUUCGGGUGAACUUUUAAGAAGUAUUUUGCUGUGUUCGGGUCGAAUAGUGUGGAAUCAACUUGCCUUCAUUGCUGAUAUAUUUUUUAACUGCUUAACCAGUUGGUGCUCUUCAUACAUGUAUUUAAUUUCUAUUUUGCAUCACUAUUUAAUUUCUGUUUUGCAUCACUACUUAAUUACUUUUUAUGCAUAAAUCCAAAAAUGGAUUUUAUUAAGUAAAGGAAGCGUUCGGGUCAGUUCUCUUCUCCCUUUUAUAUGUGUAUGUCUGUCUAUGUGCAAUAUAUUGUUUGAAGUAAUACGUAUGUCCUAUUCUGGUUGAGUUCAUGAAAAAUAAUUGUUAUUACAUGUGUUGUAUAUUACUUGGGUUGUAUUGUUACUUUCUUUAACAGGGUUUGAACUUAAAGGUUCAAGACAUGAAGAGUCGCCUAGGGUGGGAUACCGGAAAAAACUAAUUUUAUUUAGUAGUUUAUUUUUAUUUUGUAUUAUGUCGUUUAUUAUUUCUUUCAUUCGGUUUGUAAUGUAUUGUAUAACUCUAAACUCUCCUAUAUAUGAUUAACUUGGGGAUCGUCUAAGGGGAGGGGGAUAUACGUGCUAACUGUUUUCUUUAUUUUUUUAUUUUUUUUUACGUGUGAUUGUUAUAAAAAUAUGUCUAUAUUCGCUUAGCCAUAAAAACUGGGUAAAUGUGUUAUAACAACCAACCUAAAAUCAAG